This 466-nucleotide ribosomal RNA is filed under the name uncultured bacterium. RNAcentral's name for it is "partial 16S ribosomal RNA". It matches the Rfam family "Bacterial small subunit ribosomal RNA", at positions 28 to 505 of the family's 1533-position model. The record is from RNAcentral.
GACGAACGCUGGCGGCGUGCUUAACACAUGCAAGUCGAACGGAAAGGCCCUGCUUUUGUGGGGUGCUCGAGUGGCGAACGGGUGAGUAACACGUGAGUAGCCUGCCCUUGACUUUGGGAUAACUUCAGGAAACUGGGGCUAAUACCGGAUAGGAGCUCCUGCUGCAUGGUGGGGGUUGGAAAGUUUCGGCGGUUGGGGAUGGACUCGCGGCUUAUCAGCUUGUUGGUGGGGUAGUGGCUUACCAAGGCUUUGACGGGUAGCCGGCCUGAGAGGGUGACCGGCCACAGUGGGACUGAGAUACGGCCCAGACUCCUACGGGAGGCAGCAGUGGGGAAUAUUGCACAAUGGGCGGAAGCCUGAUGCAGCAACGCCGCGUGCGGGAUGACGGCCUUCGGGUUGUAAACCGCUUUCGCCUGUGACGAAGCGUGAGUGACGGUAAUGGGUAAAGAAGCACCGGCUAACUACG